GCCACCACGCCCGGCUAGUUUUUUGUAUUUUUAGUACGGAUGGAGUUUCACUGUGUUAGCCAGGAUGGUCUCGAUCGCCUGACCUCGUGAUCCGCCCAACUUGGCCUCCCAAAGUGCUGGAGUGAGAUACGGCGCCCGCCGAAAAUGUUUAUCCUCUUAUUUUCAAAGCAACCAGGCAAUCUCACACAAGUCUAUGUAAACGAUGUGAAACUCUAAGAACUUUAGUGAACGGAGAAACAGUCAAAUAUUGAUACUGUAUUUCUUGGAACAAGCUGCUGCCUUCAGAAGCACUGAUGCUUUUGUAGGAGGCAGGAGGCCAGGAAUCUUCCACUAACAAUGACACCAACCAUGGUGCAAAGCCAAGCUCUCUCGAGUGAGUUCUUUAUUCACCAAAGGAAGCUUCCUCUGAAAGAUUUCCAUGAACAACAGAAAUGCUCACCCCAGCCUUUUCGAAAACACACCCAUCUUGAAGUACACAGCUGAUGCCACCACCUCCUGUGUAGAGAAAUGUAAAAAAGGAGGGAAUGUAAGAGUAUGUACAAAACUGAAAGCAACCCUUGCAUGAAGAUGGUUAUCUUCCUGUUUUCCAAAUCUUUUAUAUCAGUGUAUUUAUCAUUUUAUGUACAAUACAAUUAGAUAACUAGCUCAGCUUCAUAGCAUACACUAUUAAUAUUGGGCAAAUACUGGACCUUCUCAUAUCACUAAACUGAAUAUUUCUUCAACAUUCUCCUGCCAUCAUCUAAAAUAAAUCACUGGAAUAUUCUCCCUUCAGA
Chlorocebus sabaeus (green monkey) is the source of this 773-nucleotide non-coding RNA. The record is from RefSeq and is a predicted model, not a curated record. NCBI's taxonomy places the organism in Eukaryota, Metazoa, Chordata, Mammalia, Primates, Cercopithecidae.